AUCCGGGUGAUGGAAGGCCGGCUAUCCUC
RNAcentral lists this small RNA (29 nucleotides) under Bombyx mori (domestic silkworm). Its description in RNAcentral is "ovarian small RNA-12465". Lineage: Eukaryota; Metazoa; Arthropoda; Insecta; Lepidoptera; Bombycidae. The record is from RNAcentral.